Molecule: long non-coding RNA, 1314 nt
Organism: Metopolophium dirhodum (rose-grain aphid)
Lineage: Eukaryota; Metazoa; Arthropoda; Insecta; Hemiptera; Aphididae
Exons: 3
Source: RefSeq, a predicted model, not a curated record
GUUUUAUUAUCGUUAUUGAGAGAUUAAACCUCGGAUUGAGCCUCUAGCUUACCAUUCAUUAAUAAUUCUAUUUUUAUUAAAUCGUACCGUUUGUCAUAAACUAUCGCUUAUAGUUAAGUUAAGUCACUGCAGCGUUCGAAAAAGACAAUACCCAAUAGUCGUGAUCCUACCAGCUAUAGCUACAUAAUAUAAUAUAAUAUAGUCGCGCAAUAUUGCAAUAAUAAUAUUAUUAUGUAUAAUAAGACAUUAUUAUAACUAUUGAUCCAUUAUAAGACGUGUAUAUUACAAUACGAAUGUUGUGUGUAAACGUUGUGUACGACUUUUUUUAUUUAUAUUUUUUUUUAUGUAAUUUACAUUAUUAUAGGGCACCUUUACGAUAUAUUGUUUAUUCCUAUUGUAUAGCACCUGCCUCUCGUAAUCUAUUAGACAAUUAUUAUUAUUAUUGUCCGUUAUCAAUCGAUCGGGUCGCGUGCGAAUGAAUACGCGUGUAUAUAAUAUAGUUGCUCUGGUACUUUAUAUACCUACAUCGCACUGCUGCGGUAGAGUGCUACGAUGGAGCAGGGAAAACCGAACCGGUAUAAGGAGGUUGUGUCGAAAACUACAACGGCGACUCGCACGCAGACACGAACCGUUUCUUUUGAAUUCAAUGUACACGUUGUUGCGCAACCGUGCAUGCACACGCUGUGUAUAUUGCAUCCAGGUGGCCGGUGCAGGCAAUGGUUAAAUGUGACAUGGCCCAUAAAAACUAGGUCAUAAAAUCCAUCUCGUUUAUGUGGAGUAUGUAUACAAGGCCAGUCCCUUCCUUUAUUUCUUUUUUUUCCCCGGAAAGGGACCCGAAAUCGUCUUAUGAUGGGACACACACGCACACACGGGGUGCCAGUAACAGUAACGUUAUGUAAGUGUACUCACCUUUUUCGUGUACGUCGAUUUAGUGCUCCGCGGACAAGGACGAUUUUGGAUCUGAAACAAAAAAUAUCGCGGGGGAAUUUUAUGGGAAGACUUUGCGCUGCCGACGUUUGAAAUUCGAUUCAAUGCGAUAUUUCUAUCAUCAUUCAACCGUUUUCAGGAUCAGACACAAUAACACUGAUGAAAUUACUUCAUUAUAAUAAAAUAUACAUUCAUUAUGUAUAUUUAGAUACGUUUUCUCACGUCGUCUCACGCAUUUAUAUAUAUAUAGUCUUCCGGUCUUUUCCUGCUGCAGUCGUGUAAUGAUGGAAAACGUGAGCCGCCCAUUUCCCCCGAAAACCGUUUUUGGCCGGUUGUUGGCGGGAAAAAAAUUUUCAUGGUCGACGAAACAGCAACAUAUUACAUUAU